AGUGAACGCUGGCGGCGUGCUUAACACAUGCAAGUCGAACGGACUUUAAGGGGCUUGCUUCUUAAAGUUAGUGGCGCACGGGUGAGUAAUGUAUAGCUAACCUGCCCUUUAGUGGGGGACAACAGUUGGAAACGACUGCUAAUACCGGAAUAUUGAAACAUAAGUGGCAUCACUGAGUUUUGAAAGAAUUUCGGUGGAGGAUGACUUCGCGGCCUAUCAGCUAGUUGGUGAGGUAAUGGCUCACCAAGGCAACGACGGGUAGCCGGCCUGAGAGGGCGACCGGCCACACUGGGACUGAGACACGGCCCAAACUCCUACGGGAGGCAGCAGUGGGGAAUCUUGCGCAAUGGGCGAAAGCCUGACGCAGCCAUGCCGCGUGUAUGAUGAAGGUCUUAGGAUUGUAAAAAUACUUUCACCGGUGAAGAUAAUGACUGUAGCCGGAGAAGAAGCCCCGGCUAACUUCGUG
RNAcentral lists this ribosomal RNA (466 nucleotides) under uncultured bacterium. RNAcentral's name for it is "bacterial SSU rRNA". It matches the Rfam family "Bacterial small subunit ribosomal RNA", at positions 29 to 507 of the family's 1533-position model. The record is from RNAcentral.